UACGAAGGGGGCUAGCGUUGCUCGGAAUCACUGGGCGUAAAGCGCACGUAGGCGGACUCUUAAGUCGGUGGUGAAAUCCUGGAGCUCAACUCCAGAACUGCCUUCGAUACUGAGAGUCUCGAGUCCGAGAGAGGUGAGUGGGACUGCGAGUGUAGAGGUGAAAUUCGUAGAUAUUCGCAAGAACACCAGUGGCGAAGGCGGCUCACUGGCUCGGUACUGACGCUGAGGUGCGAAAGCGUGGGGAGCAAACAGG
Molecule: ribosomal RNA, 253 nt
Filed under: uncultured bacterium
Lineage: Bacteria
Description: partial 16S ribosomal RNA
Rfam family: Bacterial small subunit ribosomal RNA
Source: RNAcentral